This 498-nucleotide ribosomal RNA is filed under the name uncultured bacterium. RNAcentral's name for it is "partial 16S ribosomal RNA". It matches the Rfam family "Bacterial small subunit ribosomal RNA", at positions 28 to 523 of the family's 1533-position model. The record is from RNAcentral.
GAUGAACGCUAGCGGCAGGCCUAAUACAUGCAAGUCGAACGAGAUUGAAGGGCUUGCUCUUCAUGAAAGUGGCGCACGGGUGCGUAACGCGUAUGCAACCUACCUUGAUCAGGGGGAUAGCCUCUCGAAAGGGAGAUUAACACCGCAUAAAAUCACAGUCCGGCAUCGGAUAAUGAUCAAAUAUUUAUAGGAUCAAGAUGGGCAUGCGUGUCAUUAGUUAGUUGGUGAGGUAACGGCUCACCAAGACCACGAUGACUAGGGGAUCUGAGAGGAUGACCCCCCACACUGGUACUGAGACACGGACCAGACUCCUACGGGAGGCAGCAGUAAGGAAUAUUGGUCAAUGGGGGCACCCCUGAACCAGCCAUGCCGCGUGCAGGAAGACGGCCCUACGGGUUGUAAACUGCUUUUAUACGGGAAUAAACCUCUGUUCGUGAACGGAGCUGAAUGUACUGUAAGAAUAAGGAUCGGCUAACUCCGUGCCAGCCGCCGCCGUAA